UAAUUAACCUGACAGGGGAGAUGCCAGGAUCCUAAAAGUGAUUUUCUCAAGGUGAAGCUUCCCCAUUGCAUUGGUUGAGCUUGUUUGUGCUGACCCCAGCAGUGUCCCCAAAUGCAGGGAAACCAGCUGCCUAAUGAGUGAUAGUUAGAGCUUUGUUUGGACUCUCUCC
Molecule: small nuclear RNA, 169 nt
Filed under: Sorex araneus (European shrew)
Lineage: Eukaryota; Metazoa; Chordata; Mammalia; Eulipotyphla; Soricidae
Description: U1 spliceosomal RNA (ENSSARG00000019810.1)
Rfam family: U1 spliceosomal RNA
About the family: U1 is a small nuclear RNA (snRNA) component of the spliceosome (involved in pre-mRNA splicing).
Source: RNAcentral